GACGAACGCUGGCGGCGUGCUUAACACAUGCAAGUCGAACGGAAAGGCCCUGCUUUUGUUGGGUGCUCGAGUGGCGAACGUGUGUGUAACACGUGAGUAACCUUCCCUUUACUUUGUGAUAACUUCAGGAAACUGGGGCUAAUACCUUAUAUGAUCUCCUGCUGCAUGUUGUUGGUUGGUAAUUUUCGGCGGUUGGUGAUGGACGCGCGGCUUAUCAGCUUGUUGGUGGGGUAGUGGCUUACCAAGGCUUUGACGGGUAGCCGGCCUGAGAGGGUGACCGGCGAAAUGGGGACUGAGAUACGGCCAAGAAGCAAACGGGAGGCAGCAGGGGGGAAUAUUGAAAAAUGGGCGGAAGCAUGAUGAAGAAAAGCAGCGUGCGGGAUGACGGCCUUCGGGUUGUAAACAGCUUUAGCAUGAGAAGAAGCGGGAGUGACGGUAAUGGGUAAAGAAGCACCGGCUAACUACGUG
Molecule: ribosomal RNA, 468 nt
Filed under: uncultured bacterium
Lineage: Bacteria
Description: partial 16S ribosomal RNA
Rfam family: Bacterial small subunit ribosomal RNA
Source: RNAcentral